Molecule: transfer-messenger RNA, 359 nt
Filed under: Sphingomonas prati
Lineage: Bacteria; Pseudomonadati; Pseudomonadota; Alphaproteobacteria; Sphingomonadales; Sphingomonadaceae
Description: Alphaproteobacteria transfer-messenger RNA
Rfam family: Alphaproteobacteria transfer-messenger RNA
About the family: Bacterial tmRNA, also known as 10Sa RNA or SsrA, is named for its dual tRNA and mRNA-like properties. Its role is to liberate the mRNA from a stalled ribosome.
Source: Rfam by way of RNAcentral
CAUGUUGCGAACUGUUGCGCACCCUCCUAUAUCUCCGGUGCCGGGUUCGCCCGGCUAUGGUGAUAAAUGAUGUCGUGACAUAGACGCAGCGGACCCGGGGGCAGUACCCGGCGGCUCCACCAUCAUCGGCGCACCCGACCCUAGACGGGCGGCGCCGAUUGUGACGGGGCCGAACUAGGAUCGACGUGUGUUGAAAGACGAUAUUUUUGCCCGGCCUGAUUGAGCCGUAAAACCGAUCACAACCACAAGUGCUAACGACAACGAGGCACUCGCGAUUGCUGCGUAACUAAGUCCUAACGGACGAAGUUAAACAGACAAAAGCGCGGUUGGGGCCGCACCGGGCAACAGAAGCGGACACC